GACAGAGGGUGCGAACGUUGUUCGGAAUUACUGGGCGUAAAGCGCAUGUAGGCGGCCGCGCAGGUCGGGUGUGAAAGCCCUGGGCUCAACCCAGGAAGUGCACUCGAAACCGCGCGGCUCGAGUCCCGGAGAGGAAGGUGGAAUUCUUGGUGUAGAGGUGAAAUUCGUAGAUAUCAGGAGGAACACCGGUGGCGAAGGCGGGUCUCUGGGCCGAUACUGACGCUGAGGAGCGAAAGCGUGGGGAGCGAACAGG
Molecule: ribosomal RNA, 253 nt
Filed under: uncultured bacterium
Lineage: Bacteria
Description: partial 16S ribosomal RNA
Rfam family: Bacterial small subunit ribosomal RNA
Source: RNAcentral